Molecule: long non-coding RNA, 13588 nt
Filed under: Nicotiana tabacum (common tobacco)
Lineage: Eukaryota; Viridiplantae; Streptophyta; Magnoliopsida; Solanales; Solanaceae
Description: long non-coding RNA (NTAB_LNC012353)
Source: RNAcentral
UCACAAAUCCUUGCAUAAAUUUGUGCAAGGUCAUAAAAUCAAACCCCAAAUCAUUCAAUUUGCCCCCUACAUUCGUGAAUCAAGCCGAAAUUUCCAUCAUGAUCACCAAAAUUCAAAAAGCCCAAUUUAAAUCCUAGACCUAAAUUAUGCAACCUGAAAUCGAUCAAUCUCUCCUUUGUAAUUUCAAAUACAUGACAUUCAUGGUUGCUUGUCCCUUAAUUCAUUGUUAUAUUCUUUAUCCAGAGGUGAAAAGCAGUGGUCUCUUGAUAUUAGAGUUUGACCGGCAGUCCAAAGCUUCAACGAUCGACCCUCGUGCCCAGGUAGUUUCUGUGAUGUUUUCACCUUCAUUCCUCAUUGAUUUCACCCUCGUUUAUAACAUCAUCCAACCUUCGUGACUUUCCACUACCAAUUUAAAAUUUGAACGGAACCCUAGCUAUUGAAUGCUCUUCGCUUGGUUUGCUGCCCUGUAGAAGGUCAGUGCCUCCUGACAUCUCUCUUUACUAUGAACUAGUUGUGUGGUUCUAUGUUCCUGAUGUUGUCUUAACUGAUUUUCCAUCGUUUAUGUUAGCUGUUAAUGAUAGAAAAUUUUGUUUGUGAUAAUCAGUCUUUGUAUGCUAUUUUCACUAUUAACUUAGGAACUUUCUAAUUGAAACAUGUUAUACUAAUUUUGUUAUUAAUCCAUGUAAUUAAAACCUUAGCUUUCAAGACUCAAUUAGUAAAAAUUACUAUAAACUAACUAACACUCUUGUGAUUAACCUUGAUAGGCUUAUGUGACUAAGCUAGGAUUAGUUUUGUACACUACAUACCUCUACUAGUUGAAUAAUGAUAUCAGGUCGACUAAAAUCAAAUUCUUUAACUCUUCUUUGUGUUCUUGUGCUUCUAGACUGUUUGACUCCUUUACUUGUGACACUGUGAGUGGAUUCCCUGUAUCUUAUGCCUUGUAGCAUGUCGACUUUAACAAUCUCGGCUUGUCAAAUGUGAUGCCUUGUUAAUACUGCAGAUAAGUGUUAUUUUCAGACCGUGUUAAGGCUUUAUCCUAUUAUUGUGUAUCACAUGUUAGUUAAGAAACUAGUCCUAAAAUUAGACUAUUAAGCUAUUCUUGAGAAUACUAUUAACAUUUACUAACACUAAAUUAUCUCAAAGUUUGUGAGUGUCCUGUAGUGUGGUUUAGCUCUUAUGUUGACCUACUAAUUCUGAUUAACAUCCUGCUUAUAUAGUUAUAGUAGAAUAGUCCUUGUGUGUCCUCUGUAAUGAUGUGAUAACUAAUGAAUCCAUGUAAUGGAUCUUACUAAGUGUGUUGGGAAGACUAUUCUUCACUAAUCCCUGUAGUUAGCUUAAUAUUAACCCUUUCAUGACUAUUAGAGUCUUUGUGAGUUUCCUGCUACUACAUUAAUGACCUUUGCACCCGAAUUACUUCUUUCAUGUUAACCCCCUUGCUAUGUUCUCGAACUGUUCUAUGACUUUAUGUUGGAGAGCAUGUAUAUUUGUACUUGUGUACAAACCUUUACUUUCCCUGGUUUUGGCUCUGCGAUAGUGCUUUACUUGAUUUUAAUAUGUGAAUGUUUCCAUCAAGGGACCUGCUCUCAUUUCUGAUAGUAAUUUAUUCUUGCGAGUUUAACUAAUAAGACUUACCUGUAACUCUGCACCAUCCUGAACAUUACAUGUAUUCAUACAAAUCGUGCAUUGGAUCAUGUUAGUAUACUAUACAAUUAAGCCUAAACCUAUCUGUAUGACCAGUUGUCUGCUCGAUGUGACAUGCUUAAUGUCUCUCACCUAUAUGGCCUGCUCUUAACCAUUCUGAAACCUCUUUUUUUAGAAAAUCUGUGAACAUGCCUACUAUUUGAAAUUUGUUUCCCUGUUUGACUAUCUCUCAUGCUUAAUUGUGUAUCCCAUAUUCUAAUCCUCUCAAUCAAUACUAUGAUCUUAGUUGCUAUUAUGCCUUGAUGAUGAACUGCAGUGCUUUGUUUGUUCAUUGUUAUCAACCUUUGUGUGUGUGUUGAACUUUCAAAAUGGUUACCAUGGCUCAUGCAUAUAUUGUUUAUGUCUUAGCAGUAUUAAUUCAUUAUGUUGAUUCAUUUAUUUAUGUUUAAGCAUCUGAGGAAGAUUAGAAGUAGGUGGUUAAUGGUAUUUGGGUGUGCAACUCGUUGUGGUUGUGAUCGCUUUCCUUGACAGAAGCACCGCUCGGGGUCCAUGAGACCCUCAUGAAGUUUGAAGUGCCAAGGGUUCAAAGGAGGAUCAUAUCUAGAAAUGCGGAUCUACACCAAGUCCUUAAUUACAAAACCCUAUGUCACGACCCAAAUUCUCCCUCCGUGAAACGUCGUGACGGCACCUAGUCUCUACGACUAGGUAAGCCUAAUACUUGUGGAAAUAAAAUGAAAAACAUGAAAAUUCAACAACUAACAGUAGAAGAUAUUUUAAUAAGCAUAUGAGAUGCCGCUCGAAAUAUACAAUAAUCAACUCUCGAAAUAUACAUGACACUCCCAAGAGCAGGAAUGUUGUAAGUCACAAGCUUCUACGAAGUUCUAAUUGUUCUAUACAUCAGUGUCGAUAGAAAUAAGAUAAGGAUCAACAUAGGGGGAUAGAGGGGGACUCCGAGGAUCUGCGGGCAUGAGCAGGUGUACCUUGAAGUUCUCCGAAAGAGCAAUAACUGCAACCAAGGACGAGGCUGGUAAAAGGAACCUGGAUCUACACACAAAAAAUAUUUGUAGAAAAAGGCGUGAGUACACUACAACGAUACCUGUAAGUGUCGAGCCUAAACUCAGUGGAGUAGUGACGAGGUCAGGUCAGGCCCAUUGGUAUAUAAUAAAAAAAGAGAAUAAGCUGUACAAUAAGAGACUAAGGUUCAAUGAAGGAAAGCAUAGUGAAAUAACAUAACCGUACACGGAAUUAAGCGACAUUGGAUCUCUCGAGAUACCGUCUCGUAGUCCCAAAAGUAAAUAUGCAGGGAGAACUCCCGAGGUACCGCCUCGUAGUCUCAAAGUAAAUGUGUAUGGGGAUCUCCCGGGAUACCGUCUCGUAGUCCUAAAAGUAAAUAUGUAGGGGGAUCUCCCGAGAUACCGUCCCGUAGUGCCAAAAGUAAAUAUCCAGGGAGAUCUCCUGGGAUACCGUCCCAUAGUCCAAAAGUAAAUACACAGCGCAAUCAAUUAAAACGACAAGUACAGCAAGAGAAAUCUACAGUCUACACUAAGUACAAGUCGGGAAAAGAGCAGGAAUUCAAUAGGCAUGCUGCAAAGAGUUCAAUUAAGAAAAAUAAGGCAAGUAGACAUGUUAUUCUAAGCUAACAGGGCAACUACACAUGCUAGUACAUUAAAUUAAGGUGGAAACAGGAAAUUUCUCAGUAAAAAAAUCAGUAUUUCAACAAAUAGCCCGUGUACGCAGUCGUCACCUCGCGUACACGGUGCUCGCAUAGUAAAAUUAGUACUAAAUCUGAAGGGGAUUUCCCCCCACAUAAGGUUAGGCAAGCCACUUACCUCAAACCAAGCUCAAUCAAUCCGUAACAAUGCUCUUUCCAGGAAUAUCCGACUCCGAAUUAUCCAAAUCUAGCCAAAAUCAAUUACAUACCAUAAAUACAACUAUAAGAAUUAAUAUAAUUAAUGAAAUCAAAGCUAAAGUAAGAAAUUGGAAAAUUGCCCUAAAAAGCCUCCCUGGGCCCAUGUCUCGGAAUCAAGUAAAAGUCACCAAAUUUGAAUACCCAUUCACUCACGAGUUCACUCGUACCAAAAUUAUACAAAUCCGAUGUCAAAAUCCCAAUCAAAACCCAAAAAUUUUAGUUGAAGAACUUCUUCCCAUUUUUCAACCCAAAUCCGAAAUUUAAUGAUGAAAUUAAUGAUAGUUCAAUGGAAUAUAACGAAAAUCAAGUGUAGAAUCAUUACCCAAUCGAUGUCUCUGAAAAUCCCGCAAACUCUCAUCCAAAUCCGAUCUCCCAAACUCAAGUUUUGAUUAAAAUGGCCAAACCCUCAUUUUUGAAAUGUUUAAUACUGCCUAGUGAUUCCUUAAUCGCGAUUCAAACUUAAUGAAUUUGAAACUUCAAAUUUCCACAACCGAUGCAGAAACCUAUCAAACCACGUCCGAUUGACCUAAAAAUUUGCACACAAGUCGUAUUCAGCAUUACGGACCUAUUCCAACUUCUGGAAUCGGAAUCCGACACCGGUAUCAAAAUUCCACUACCGGUCCAAAUCUCUAAAAUAUUGACUUUCACCAUUUCAAGCCUAAAUGAGCUCUAGACCUCUAAAACACUAUUCGGGCAGGCCUUUAAGUCCAAAAUCACCUAACGGAGCUAACGGAACCGACAGAAUCUAUUUAGGAGUCAUCUUCACACAGUUCCGACUACGGUCCAAAUCCUAAGGCUUAAACUUUCAUUUAGGGACUAAGUGUCCCAAAAGACUCAAAAUAUAUAAAUGAAACCUCCCGGCAAGUCACAAUAGUAGAAAUAGAUAUGGUAGAAGCAGUUAAUAGGGGAUCGGGGCUAUAACUCUCAAAAUGACCGGCCGGAUCGUUACAUCCUUCCUCUCUUAAAACAAUCGUUCAUCCUCGAACGAGCAUAAAGACAUAUCUGAAGUGGUGAAAAGAUGAGGAUAACGGUUGCGCAUAACAUGCUCGGUAUCCCAAGUCGCCUCCUCGACCGGCAGACCCCUCCACUGAACCUUCACGGAUGCAAUGUUUUUUAACCCCAGUCUUCAAACCUGCUUGUCUAAAAUAGCCACUGGCUCCUCGACAUAAGAUAGAUCCUUGUCCAACUGGACUGAGUUUAAAUCAAACACAUGAGUCGGAUUGCCGUGAUACUUCCAGAGCAUAGAAACAUGAAAUACUGGGUGGACCCCUGCAAGACUGUGAGGCAUGGUAAGCUCAUAAGCAAUCUCCCUAACAUGUAGGAUACCUCAAAUGGGCCGACAAACUGUGGGCUCAGCUUGCCCUUCUUUCCGAACCCCAUAACGCCCUUUAUAGGCGAAACCCGGAGCAAGACCCACUCUCCAACCAUGAAUGUAACAUCGCGAACCUUCCGGUCUGCAUACCUCUUCUGUCUAGACUGGGAUGUGCGAAGUCGAUCCUGAAUCACCUUCACCUUAUCCAGGGCGUCCUGAACCAAGUCUGUACCCAAUAAUCUAGCCGCGACCGGAUCGAACCAACCCAUUGGGGACCGGCACUGCCUACUAUACAGAGCCUCAAACGGUGCCAUCUGGAUGCUCGACUGAUAACUGUUGUUGCAGGCAAACUGCACAAGUUGUAAGAACCGAUCCCAAGUACCCCUAAAAUCUAUCACACAAGAGCGGAGCAUAUCCUCCAGUAUCUGAAUAAUGCGCUCAGAUUGUCCGUCCGUCUGAGGGUAAAAUGUUAUGCUCAACUCAACCCGAGUACCCAUCUCCUGCUGUACAGCCCUCCAAAACCUUGAUGUAACUUUCAUACACCGAUAAGAGAUGAUAGAUACAGGGAUGCCAUGAAGCCUGACGAUCUCGCGAAUGUACAUUCGAGCUAGCUACUCGGAAGAAUAAGUAGUCAUCAUAGGAAUGAAAUGAGCUGACUUGGUCAGGCUAUCAACAAUCACCCAAACCACAUCAAACCUCCGCUGAGUCUAUGGGAGUCCAACAAAGAAAUCCAUAGUGAUCCGCUCCUAUUUCCACUAUGGAAUCUCUAACUUCUGAAGCAACCCAUCCGGCCGCUGAUACUCAUACUUCACCUGCUGAAAAUUUAUGCCUCAAGUCAUGAUACAUCUUCGCGGCACCCGGAUGAAUAGAGUACUGUGAGCUUUGAGCCUCCUAAAGAAUCAACUCACGCAAACCAUCUACAUUAGGUACACAUAGCCUGCCCUACAUACUCAAUACGCCAUCAUCCCCAAUAGUGACCUCCUUAGCAUCAUCGUGCUAAACCGUGUCCUUAUGGAUAAACAGGUGGGUGUCAUCAUACUGACGCUCCCUGAUACAAUCAUAAAGAGAAUACCGAGAGACCACACAAGCCAAUACUCAACUCGGCUUAGAAAUAUCCAAUCUCACAAACUGGCUGGCUAAGGCCUGAACAUCCAAUGCUAAGGGUCUUGGUGCUGCUGGAAGAUAUGCUAAACUCCCCAAACUCUCCGCCCGACAACUCAAUGUAUCGGCCACCACAUUGGCCUUCCCCGUGUGGUACAAAAUUAUGAUAUCAUAAUCCUUAAGUACCUCCAACCACCUCCGUUGAUGCAAGUUAAGAUCCUUUUGCUUGAACAUAUGCUGCAAAUUCCGAUGAUCGGUGUAAAUCUCACAAAGGACACCAUACAAGUAGUGCCGCAGAAUCUUCAGGGCAUGAACAAUAGCUGCUAACUCAAGGUCGUGGACCGGAUAGUUCUUCUCAUGCGCCUUCAGCUAUCUGGAUGUGUAGGCAAUCACCCUACCGUCCUGCAUCAACACCGCACCAAGACCAAUCCGCGACGCAUCACAAUAUACAAUGUAGGACCCCAAACCUAUAGGCAAUACCAAACCUGUGGCUACAGUCAAAGCUGUCUUCAGCUUCUGAAAGCUCUCCUCACACUCCUAUGUACACUUGAAUGGAGAACCCUUAUGGGUCAGCCUGGUCAUAGGUGCUGUAAUAGAUAAGAAUCCCUCUACAAAAUGACGGUAAUACCCCGUUAAACCAAGAAAACUACGUAUCUCCGUAGUCGAUGACGGUCUAGGCUCACUCUGCACUACUUCCACCUUCUUAGGAUACACCUUGAUCCUAUCACUCGAUACUACAUGGCCCAAUAAUGCCACUGAGUCUAGCCAAAACUCACACUUAGAAAAUUUUGCAUAUAACUUCUUUUCUCUCAAGGUCUGAAGCACAGUCCUCAGCUCAUGAUCCUCCCGAGUCCAGGAGUACACCAGAAUGUCAUCAAUAAACACAAUAAUGAAAGAGUCAAGAUAAGGCCAGAACACACUAUGCAUCAAGUGCAUAAAGGCUGAUGGGGCAUUGGUCAGCCCAAAAUACAUAACCAGAAACUCAUAGUGACCAUAUCAGGUCUUGAAAGCAGUCUUCGGGAUAUCUGGCUCCUGAAUCUUUAACUGAUGAUAUCCUGAACAUAAGUCAAUUUUGGAGAACACUUUGGCACCCUGUAACUGAUCAAAUAAGUCAACAAUACGAGGAAAUGGAUACAUGUUCUUCAAUGUAACUUUGUUCAGCUGGCGAUAAUCAAUACAUAUACGUAUAGAACCAUCAUUUAUCUUCACAAACAAGACAGGAGAAUCCAAGGUGACACACUGGGCAGAAUGAAGACCUUAUCAAGCAACUCCUACAAUUGCUCCUUCAACUCCUUCAACUCAGGAGGAGCCACACGUUAUGAAGGAAUAAAGAUGGGGUGAGUGCCCGCCAACAAAUCAAUGCCAAAAUCAAUAUCUCUGUCGGGCGGCAUACCCGAAAGAUCAGCUGGAAACACAUCUUGAAAGUCCCUCACUAUUGGGACCGACUCAAUUGUAGGGGUAUCAAUACUGACAUCUCUCACAUAAGCUAGAUACGCGUUACACCCCCUCUCAACCAUUCAUUAGCUUUAAGAAAUGAAAUAACUCGGCUGGGAGUAUACUCUAAGGUACAUCUCCACUCUAAUCGUGGUAAACCUAGCAUAGUCAGCGUCAUGAUCUUAGCGUGACAACCAAGAAUAGCAUAAUGGGACGAAAACCAGUCCAUGCCCAAGAUAACAUCAAUAUCUACAAUGCUGAGCAAUAAUAAAUUGGCUCUGGUCUCAAAACUACUAAGAGCAAUCAAACACGACCGAUACACGGGUUCUACAAUAAGAGAAUCUCCCAUAAGAGUAGACACAUAAACAGGGGAACUCAAAGAAUCCUGAGAUACGCCCAAAUGUGGGGCAAAAUAAGAGGACACAUAGGAAUACGUAGAGCCUGGGUCAAAUACUACUGACGCAUCUCUAUGACAGACGGUAACAAUACCUAUAAUGACAGAGUCAGAAGCAACUACCUAUGUACGGGCCGGAAGAGCAUAAAACCUGGCUUAGCCUCCCCCUCUAGGGUGACCUCGACCUCCCCAACCUCUACCUCGAGCUGGCUGAUCAGGUGGGGCGGUAGCUUGUGCUGGAAUCAUGGCCUGAGGGCUCGGUGGAGCACGUGGUGGCUGAGAAGUCUUUGGAGGUGCAACCCUCCUAUGUUUGGGGCAAUCCUUCACCAUAUGGUGGGUAUCACCACACUCAAAACAACACCUCGGAGGGCGUGGCUGCUGUGACGGACUUGGGCUAGGUCUGCUGGACUGGAUGCUAAAAGUUCCCCGAGAAGGAGGCACAUUAGAUACUGGCGGUGCAUAGUAAGGCUCCUGGGGCCGAGAAGAGGCUGGAACACCACAGGCGGCUGGAAGAACUGAAUAAAUGGGGAGACCCACAUAACCCAUACCAUGGCAAACUUCUGGGGCACGAGCUCUAGAAUAAGAACCAGUCUGUCGAUACCUCUUGGCAUCUCUCUCCUCUCGGUCCCGGGCAAGCAUGCCCUCCAAUCUCCUAGCAAUACCCAUAACCUACUAGUAAGGAAUAUCCAUCUCCAACUCCCUGACCAUACUAAUCCUGAUACUGAGGUGGAGUCCCUCAAUAAACUGUCGAACCCUCUCUCGAACUGUGACAACCAAGGCUGGUGCAUGUCAGGCCAAAUCACUGAAGCGGACUGUAUACUCUGACAUAAUCAUAGCACCCUAGCACUGCUGCUCAAAUUCCAAGCACAAUGAGUCCCUAAGGCUCUGAGGGACAUACUCCUUCAAAAACAUGUCCUAAAACUUAGUCCAUGUAAGUGAAGCUGCCUUAUCCGGACUACUCAACUCAUAAGCAUGCCACCACUGAUAGGCUGCUCCUUUAAGCUGGAAAGUGGUAAAAGAAACUCCACUCGUCUCCGCUACGCCCAUAGUAAGGAGAAUACGAUAACACUCCUCCAGGAAACCCUGAGCAUUAUCUGUAGCCAAUCCGCUUAAGGUAGGUGGGUGGUACGUCUUGUACAUCUCAAGUCUGAGCUGCUCCGCCUCAAAAGCGGUUGUCCUAGUCUCAUGCUGAACCGGAGCUACCGGUGGCAUAGGAAUAAACUCUGAGUCCUGAUCAGCCUUGACCCUCUGCUCAGGAGUACGGACUGUGGGAGUCUAUGCCCCUCCCCCGGCCUGAGAUGUGGCGGGACCUAGUGGGAUCAAUCCAGCCUGAGCUAAACUACUGGACAGGCUCAUGAACUGGGCUAGAGUCUCUUGGAGGGCUGGUGCAGCAAUAGGAAUAUCCGGUGGCUGCCCUCCAGCUGGAACCGCUAGGGGAUCCUCUGUCGCAGCUCGCGUGGGUGCUAUGGCUGCACCGCAUGGCCGUACUCUAUCCCGGCCCCGGACUCUUGCGGCUCUAGUAGGGGGCGCGGGUGCCUGGUCAUCAGAUCCUCCGGUACGGGUCCGCGCCAUAUGUGAGAAAAUAAAAUAGAGAAUUUUUAGAAUUUGAUGCCAAUAACUUACAUGACAAGGAAUCAAAAGAAGUACGGUUGUUCCUAACAGUUCCAUAGCCUCCCGAAGAUAAGUACAGACGUCUCCGUACAGAUCCGCGAGACUCUAAUAAACCGGCUUGUUACUCACGACACCUACGAACCUAGGUCUCUGAUACCAACUUGUCACGACCCAAAUUCUCCCUCCGUUAAACGUCGUGAUGGCAUCUAGUCUCUAUGACUAGAUAAGCCUAAUACUUGCGAAAAUGAAAUGAAAAACCUAAAAAUUUAACAACUAACAGUAACAUAUAUUUUAUUAAGCAAAUGAGAUUCCGCUCGGCAUAUACAAUAAUCAACUCUCGAAAUAUAUAUGACACUUCCAACACCCGGAACACCGUAAGUCACAAGCUUCUACGAAGUUCUAACUAUUCUAUACAUGAGUGUCUAUAAAAAUAAGAGAAGAAUCAACAUAGGGGCAGAUGUACCUUGAAGUUCUCCAAAACAGCAACAACUGCAAUUAAGGACGAGGCUGGUAAAAGGAACCUGUAUUUGCACACAAAAAAUAUGUGCAGGAAAGGGCAUGAGUACACUACAGUGGUACCCAAUAAGUGCUAAGCCUAACCUCAGUCGAGUAGUGACGAGGUCAAGUCAGGCCUACGGGUAUCUAAUAAUACAAACAGGAGAAUAAGCAGUAUAAUAAGAGACUAAGGUUCAAUGAAGGAAAGCACAGUGAAAUAACAUAACAGGGGAUCUCCCACGAUACAGUCUCGUAGUCCCAAAACUAAAUAUGCAAGGAGAACUCCCGAGGUACCGCCUCGUAGUCUCAAAGUAAAUAUGCAGGGGGAUGUCCCAGGAUACCAUCCCGUAGUCCUAAAAGUAAAUAUGCAGGGGGAUCUCCCGAGAUACCGUCCCGUAGUCCCAAAAGUAAAUAUGAAGGGGAUCUCUGAAGAUACUGUCCCGUAGUACCAAAGUAAAUACACAGUGUAAUCAAUUACAAUCAAUAAGUAGAACAAGAGAAAUUUACAAUCUAGACUAAGUACAAGUCGGGAAAGAAGCAGGAAUUCAAUAGGCAUGCUGCAAAGAGUUCAAUUAAGCAAAAUAAGGUAUGUAGACAUGUUAUCCUAAGCUAACAGAAUAACUAUGCAUGCUAGUAUAUUCAAUUAAGGUAGAAGCAGGGAAUUUUUUAGUAAAAAGAUCAGGUUUUUCAACAAAUAGCUCGUGUACGCACUCGUCACCUCGCGUACAUGGCGUUCGCAUAGUAAAAUCAGGACCAAAUCCUAAGGGAAUUUCCCCCACACAAGGUUAGGCAGCUCACUUACCUCAAACCAAGAUCAACCAAUCUGUAACACUGCUCUUUCCACGAACAUCCGACUCCGAAUGGUCCAAAUCUAGCCAAAAUCAAUUACAUACCAUAAAUACAGCUAUAAGAAUUAAUCUAAUUAACGAAAUCAAAGGUAAAGCAAGAAAUUGGAAAAUCGCCCUAAAAAGCCUUCUCAGGCCCACGUCUCGUAAUCGAGUAAGAGUCACCAAAUAUGAAUACCCUUUCACUCACGAGUUCACUCGUACCAAAACUAUCCAAAUCCGAUGUAAAAAUCCCAAUCAAAACCUAAAAAUCUUAGUUGAAGAAUGUCUUUCCGUUUUUUUCAAUUUUCAACCCAAAUCCGAAAUUUAAUGAUGAAAUUAAUGAUAGUUCAAUGGGAUAUAACCAAAAUCAAGUGUAAAAUUAUUACCCAAUCUAUGUCUCUGAAAAUCUCCCAAAAUUUAGUCCAAAUCCGAGCUCCCAAACUCAAGUUUUAAUAAAAAUGGCCAAACCCUUAUUUUUGAAAUGUUUAAUACUUCCCAGUGAUUCCUUAAUCGCGAUCGCGGAAAUAGCCUCGCGAUCGCGAAGAAUAACUUUGCUGCCCCAAAAAUUAACUCUACGCGAAUGCAUAAAAUACCACGCGAACGUGAUGCUCUGACUCUCAUACUUACGCGAUCGCGAACAACCCUACACAUUCGCGGCGAGCAAAGUGUGUGGCCCAGCUUUGGUCCACUUAAGCCUACGCGAACCCGACCUUGUCUCUGCGUUCGCGAAGAACCACCUCACUUCACUACGCGUUCGCAUGACCCUAUCCGCGAACGCGAAGAACAAUUCCAUCCUCUUGCCCAUCUAGCGUACGCGAUCGCGGAUCACCCCACGUGAUCGCGUAUAAGGAAACCAGAACUUAGAGACCAGGAAUCUUCAGCAACCUCUUAAGUCCAAAAAGCGAUCCGCUGGGCAUCCGAAACACACCCGAAGCCCCCGAGACCUCAACAAAACAUAUCAAAUAGUCCUAAAUCACCAUACGAACUUAGUCGAGCCCUCAAAUCACAUCAAACAACGCUAAAAUCCCGAAUCGCCCUCCAAUUCAAACAUAAUGAACUUGAAACUUCAAAUUUCUAUAACCGAUGCCGAAACUUAUCAAGCCACGUCCGAUUGACCUAACAUUUUGUACACAAGUCGUAUUCAACAUUACAGACCUACUCCAACUUCCGGAAUCAUAAUCCGACCCCUGUAUCAAAAUUCCACUACCGGUCCAAAUCUGCAAAACUUCGACUUUCGCCAUUUCAAGCCUAAAAGAGCUAUAGACCUCCAAAACACUAUCCGGAAAUGCCCCUAAGUCCAAAAUCAUCUAACGAAGCUAACUGAACCGACGAAACUCCAUUCCGGAGUCAUCUUCACAUAGUUCCAACUAGGGUCCAAAUUCUAAGGCUUAAACCUCCAUUUAUGGACUAAGUGUCCCAAAAUACUCCAAAAAUCAAAACGAAACCUCCCGGCAAGUCACAAUAGCAGAAAUAGAUAUGAGAGAAGCAAUUAAUAAGGGAUCAGGGAUAUAACUUUCAAAAUGACUGACCGGGUCGUUACACCCUAUUAAUCCUCAUAGGAUUAGCAUAAAUAAAAUCUACCUUACUAUAGUCUACAGCUCUUUAUUACCAUUUAUAAUUUUAUCUUACUUAGUUUUGUACAAUUGAUUUGCUUUAAUUAUUCUCUUUUAUUUAUAUGCAUGAAUUUAACUUGUCCAUGUUGAGCCCAUUCGAAGAUCAUGUCCACUUUCAGACCUAGGUUGUCAUAUUCCUGUCGCGCCUGUUGUUCGUGCUCAUGGUGUUGGUCCUCGUUAAGCCUACUAAGCCCAGAUCGCCAAGGUUCCAGUUUCUUUCCCCUUAUUUAUUUUAAAUUUAUUUCGCUAUUGUUUGAUCUGUCAUAUAUGUAUAUUCUUAAAUGACUAACAUUAUUAUAGGAUAACAUAAAUUCCUUGAUUGUGUAGGAACGUAGGCAAACCCAAAGAAUACAGGGUAAAAGAAUCAAGCCAAAUUCUGCUCAUUCUAGGAUUGUCAAUGUUUGAUUACUAACUGAUUUCCAUGUUUAUCUUUCUUUUUCUUUUUUUAAUAUGAAAGGUUCUAUCUUUAUCACUAACAACUUUCAAUAAGUUUAUGUUUUGAAAGAUACCAAUAGCAAUGUGAAACCCCUUUGGAAAUUAGAACUGCGAAAGAAAAUUGAAAAGUUGUUUUCAUGAAACAAAACAAAACCAAACACAACAAACUUUUACAAAUGGGUGGACCCCAACGAAAAUUUCAAAAUUCAUGGUUUUUAUAUAUUUGAUUUUCAAGACUAAUGAUUUGUAUUAAAAUAAGUCUUCACCUUACUAAAUCUCAUACAAAUUAACUGCUUUUCUAACAUACACACCUAACUCUCUUUCAAACAAGAAUGCCCUUAUUACAAGAUUUUAAGAUAUAUCCGGCUUUUCAAUUUCAUAAGUAUACACAUUUCAAAGGUGACUUUUUUGUAUAAAAACCAAGCUUCUAACCUCUUUCCAAGGUACAUACACGCCCCAUUUCUUCUUAAAAUAGUGAACCUUAGACUUAGAACAUUUUUUUAGAUUUUGAGCACUUGACUAAGCAGAGUAUAGACUUUCCUUUCCCAAACCUAGCCUAAUCUUAAGUAGCUACCCCAUGUAGAUUCUGUGGGGUGCCUAACACCUUCCCCUUUGAAUAACUAGAGCUGUUACCCAAAUCUCACCGGCUAUCAGACUAUUAGGAUAAUAAUAAACCUAUAGGUACCCUAAUAUACCUUAAAAUAUUAGGUGGCGACUCCAUUUAUCAACUUUAGAUGAACCACUAGUUGUAUUUUAUUUUGACUUGUACAGAAUAUGGUGCAACAAUGAAGUAUGGAUACAGACCAGGGUCUAGGA